Molecule: ribosomal RNA, 735 nt
Filed under: uncultured bacterium
Lineage: Bacteria
Description: bacterial SSU rRNA
Rfam family: Bacterial small subunit ribosomal RNA
Source: RNAcentral
AGAGUUUGAUCCUGGCUCAGAAUCAACGCUGGCGGCGUGCCUAACACAUGCAAGUCGAGCGAGAAAGGGAGCUUCGGUUCCCAAGUAAAGCGGCGGACGGGUGAGUAACACGUGGGUAAUCUGCCCUCGGGUGGGGAAUAACUCAGGGAAACCUGGGCUAAUUCCGCAUGAUAUUCCCGAUACUCAAGUAUUGGAAAUCAAAGCUGGGGACCCUUCGGGGCCUGGCGCCUGAGGAGGAGCCCGCGGCCAAUUAGCUUGUUGGUGGGGUAAUGGCCCACCAAGGCUUCGAUUGGUAGCCGGCCUGAGAGGGCGGACGGUCACACUGGGACUGAGACACGGCCCAGACUCCUACGGGAGGCAGCAGUGGGGAAUUUUUGUCAAUGGGGGAAACCCUGAACAAGCAACGCCGCGUGGAGGACGAAGACCUUCGGGUUGUAAACUCCUGUCGGAGGGGACGAAGGUGCAGGUGGUUAAUACCCAUCAGUAUUGACGGUACCCUACGAGGAAGCCCCGGCUAACUCCGUGCCAGCAGCCGCGGUAAUACGGGGGGGGCAAGCGUUGUUCGGAAUUACUGGGCGUAAAGGGCGCGUAGGCGGACCAGACAGUCUCUCGUGAAAUCCCACGGCUCAACCGUGGAACUGCGGGAGAUACUACUGGUCUUGAGUUCGGGAGAGGAGUGUGGAAUUCCCAGUGUAGCGGUGAAAUGCGUAGAUAUUGGGAGGAACACCGGUGGCG